RNAcentral lists this ribosomal RNA (626 nucleotides) under Lulworthia sp. ATCC 36312. Its description in RNAcentral is "SSU rRNA". It matches the Rfam family "Eukaryotic small subunit ribosomal RNA", at positions 58 to 688 of the family's 1831-position model. Lineage: Eukaryota; Fungi; Ascomycota; Sordariomycetes; Lulworthiales; Lulworthiaceae. The record is from RNAcentral.
UCUAAGUAUAAGCAAUUAUACAGCGAAACUGCGAAUGGCUCAUUAAAUCAGUUAUCGUUUAUUUGAUAGUGCCCAUCUACAUGGAUAACCGUGGUAAUUCUAGAGCUAAUACAUGCGUAAAAGCGCGACUUCGGGAGCGCUGUAUUUAUUAGAUUAAAGACCAAUGCCCUUCGGGGCUCACUGGUGAUUCAUGAUAACUCCUCUGAUCGCACGGCCUUGCGCCGGCGACGGCUCAUUCAAAUUUCUGCCCUAUCAACUUUCGACUUUAGUGUAGUGGACUAAAGUGGUUGCAACGGGUAACGGAGGGUUAGGGCUCGACCCCGGAGAAGGAGCCUGAGAAACGGCUACUACAUCCAAGGAAGGCAGCAGGCGCGCAAAUUACCCAAUCCCGACACGGGGAGGUAGUGACAAUAAAUACUGAUACAGGGCUCUUUCGGGUCUUGUAAUCGGAAUGAGUACAAUCUAAAUCCUUUAACGAGGAGCAAUUGGAGGGCAAGUCUGGUGCCAGCAGCCGCGGUAAUUCCAGCUCCAAUAGCGUAUAUUAAAGUUGUUGUGGUUAAAAAGCUCGUAGUUGAACCUUGGGCCCGUCCGGCCGGUCCGCCUCACCGCGUGCACUGGUUCGGGAG